GGGUAACGGGGUGUUAGGGCACGACACUGGAGAGGGAGCCUGAGAAACGGCUACCACAUCCAAGGAUGGCAGCAGGCGCGCAAAUUACCCAAUCCCGACACGGGGAGGUAGUGACAAUAAAUAACAAUACGGGGUUCUUUCGGAUUUCGUAAUUGGAAUGAGUACAAUUUAAAUCUCUUAACGAGGAACAAUUGGAGGGCAAGUCUGGUGCCAGCAGCCGCGGUAACUCCAGCUCCAAUAGCGUAUAUUAAAGUUGUUGCAGUUAAAAAGCUCGUAGUUGAAUUUCGGGAUCAUCAGGUUGGUCGUGCCUUCGGUAUGUACUUGCUUCGGUGGUCCCUCCUUCUUGAAGAACCGUAAUGACAUUAAUUUGUUGUUGCGGGGAAACAGGACUGUUACUUUGAAAAAAUUAGAGUGUUUAAAGCAGGCAAUCGCUUGAAUACAUUAGCAUGGAAUAAUGAAAUAGGACGUUCGAUCCUAUUUUGUUGGUUUCUAGGAUUGACGUAAUGAUUAAUAGGGAUAGUUGGGGGCAUUAGUAUUCAAUUGUCAGAGGUGAAAUUCUUGGAUUUAUUGAAGACUAACUACUGCGAAAGCAUUUGCCAAGGAUGUUUUCAUUAAUCAAGAACGAAAGUUAGGGGAUCGAAGACGAUCAGAUACC
RNAcentral lists this ribosomal RNA (655 nucleotides) under uncultured Glomus. Its description in RNAcentral is "SSU rRNA". It matches the Rfam family "Eukaryotic small subunit ribosomal RNA", at positions 357 to 1016 of the family's 1831-position model. Lineage: Eukaryota; Fungi; Glomeromycota; Glomeromycetes; Glomerales; Glomeraceae. The record is from RNAcentral.